Molecule: ribosomal RNA, 520 nt
Filed under: uncultured Glomus
Lineage: Eukaryota; Fungi; Glomeromycota; Glomeromycetes; Glomerales; Glomeraceae
Description: SSU rRNA
Rfam family: Eukaryotic small subunit ribosomal RNA
Source: RNAcentral
AGCAGCCGCGGUAAUUCCAGCUCCAAUAGCGUAUAUUAAAGUUGUUGCAGUUAAAAAGCUCGUAGUUGAAUUUCGGGAUCAGUUGGUCGGUCGUGCCUCGGUACGUACUGGUCAAAUUGAUUCCUACCUUCUGACGAACCACGAUGUCAUUAAUUUGGUGUCGCGGGAAAUCAGGGCUGUUACUUUGAAAAAAUUAGAGUGUUUAAAGCAGGCUCGCGCUUGAAUACAUUAGCAUGGAAUAAUGAAAUAGGACGUUUGAUUCUAUUUUGUUGGUUUCUAGGAUCGACGUAAUGAUUAAUAGGGAUAGUUGGGGGCAUUAGUAUUCAAUUGUCAGAGGUGAAAUUCUUGGAUUUAUUGAAGACUAACUACCGCGAAAGCAUUUGCCAAGGAUGUUUUCAUUAAUCAAGAACGAAAGUUAGGGGAUCGAAGACGAUCAGAUACCGUCGUAGUCUUAACCAUAAACUAUGCCGACUAGGGAUCGGAUGAUGUUAAUUUUUUAAUGACUUUCAUUCGGCGCCUU